Molecule: long non-coding RNA, 299 nt
Filed under: Physcomitrium patens
Lineage: Eukaryota; Viridiplantae; Streptophyta; Bryopsida; Funariales; Funariaceae
Description: long non-coding RNA (PPAT_LNC004619)
Source: RNAcentral
AAACUCUAUAAUAUGCCCGUUGAAAGUUUCUCCAACAUUCGUAUUGAGUUCGACUCAUCGAAUUUGAACACCCAUAUGACCUUUCCGAAAACUUCCUCAACCUGCACUGUUUUCUGGUGGAGUUUUUGAGAGCAACUGCCGAGACUGUAGCUGUACUUUCAAUGAUGAAAAAGAGAGCUUCUUCGGCAGAAAGCCUGUUGGAAGUUACAAAGAGUCGAGACAGUAGCAAAGAAUUGCAAUCUCUAGCGUGGUUUGGACCCUUGAAAUACUGUAGUAUUUCACGGGUUCCACUUCAUCAC